UAUUGUGGGUAAUGGGGGUGUGCGUAAACGCGCUUGUUCUCUGGACGCCAUCUUUACUAUUGGCAGGAAGGCCCGUUGCCAGGGUUACCUGAGGCCCUGAUUUAAUGAGUGGGAUGGGUACCAGAGCUCCAAUAGCAGUCCAACUACGAGAAUAAUUUGUAGAUGGUAGGUGCCCAAUACAAUACACUACUUAUUAAACAAUGAAAAGCAGCGUAUUUCAUGGAGGAAGACAUCUUUGAAUAUGGACUUCACCAUGGCCUGGUUAGCUAAGAGUGUGACUGGAGCUUCCCGUGCAACGGCCCUGCAGAAAACCAACCUCACCGCCCAGGAACUUCAGGAAGCAGGUCGCCAACAUCAAAACCUCCAAAAAGCAUCAAAAGAGACAGUUGAAGCAGUCUCAGAGGAGCCUGGCCUGGGGCUCUUCCUGCGGGCUGGUCUACCCCUUCCUUAUGGAAGGAGGGGCAAUCAGCUUUGUGGACAAGAUAUACUGCGAUGGGUAUUUUAAGUAAUACAAGCUGGUAAAGAUCAAGCUUCACUAGAAUAUUUUUGCUAAGGGUCCACAAGCACUGGGGCUUACUUCUAGGGACCCAACCAGGAACUACAGAAGCUAAGAAGACCCAAACCAGGCUCGAGCAAAGGGCAGGAGAAAAUUUGGCAGUCUGGUGGGCUGGGUGAGUUACUCAGCCAGAGGGAAUUGCAUCUGCAGAGGGAGCGUGGCGGCCAGUCAUGCCUGGGGUACCCCUGCAGGGCGGGCAGGGUGGGGAGGGCUGUGUUACCUUUGGUGGUCUCGCUGUCCCGGAUCAUGAAGGAGCCCAGCAUGUUGCCCGGGGCCAGAAGCUGGCGCUCCGCAUCCUUCCGGCUGAUGCCCUUGAAGAACCACCUGGUGGAAAGGGGUGGGAGCCUUGUGUGAACCUCGGAGUAGGCCAGUCCUGUCCCACCUCCACGGGGCGCCAGGAGACGGAGUGCCUGGCUUCCUGCAGCGUUCAUUUUCCUACAAGAUUCUUUUGGGAAAAAUCACCAUUCCCAAAUGGUGAUUUGAAACCAAAACAGAGACAUUUUUACUAGGAGUGAAUCCAGUUUGCUGAGAUAGAAACGUAUGCAAUUUGGGGAGAUUUCUUUAAGAAAAAUGAUACCAAAAGAAAGAGCCCCCCUCCCCAAAAGACUAUUAAAAAAAAAAACAAAAAAAGAAAAAGAAAACUGUUUUUAAAGAAAAAGAAUACAGCAUUACAAAUACAAAAUGCCCAUGGGCCAUUCCAAUGC
Molecule: long non-coding RNA, 1260 nt
Organism: Felis catus (domestic cat)
Lineage: Eukaryota; Metazoa; Chordata; Mammalia; Carnivora; Felidae
Exons: 3
Source: RefSeq, a predicted model, not a curated record